RNAcentral lists this long non-coding RNA (9866 nucleotides) under Marmota monax (woodchuck). Lineage: Eukaryota; Metazoa; Chordata; Mammalia; Rodentia; Sciuridae. The record is from RNAcentral.
GCUAGACAUCUUGCUCCCUCCCCAUAUGUUCCUAGGCCACAGGACCUGGUGUGAGACCAGGAAGCCCAUAAUUGCUUCCUUCUGUGUGAUGGCCCCAAUGUUCAGGCCAGGUUGAACUGAGAGGACUGAGCUUCAGCCCUGCUGAACCCCUCUGAGCUUCUCCAGACUCCACCCAUCUAAUAGAACCUCAGUAACUCCCCGACUGAGGUGCCAAGCCCUGCAUUCGGAUGGUGCUGUCAACACCAUGGCACAGCCCUGGGCUCCUGGAGUUGACAGAGAUUAAGAGAGAUAACAGGAUUCAGGUAUGCAGAAAGAGAUUGGGAGCAAGCUAGGGAGAAGGAGGGGGCAACUUGGAAGAAGUUUCCAAGAAGAGCCUCUUGGAAGAGCAGAGGGACAAGAAUGGGGGACAGGGGAUGGGAAGGGAAAGAUCGCCCACCAAGAUGUGGGGUGCAAACAUUAUAGGCAGAAGGGACAGCAAUAGCAAAGCCUGAAGUAGAGUUUUGCUGGGUGAAUUUAAUGGAAAGAAAAAUGGAUUUUGGAGCUGUCAAUGAGGUAUGUGGGCCUUGCAGACUCCUGUGAGGACUUGGCUUCUAGAAAGGAGCCACAGGAGUUCUUUGAGCAAAGGAGGAACUCCAUGCAGUUUGAGGUCUUAGAAAGAUCACUGUGGCUACUCUGAGAUAAGAUUAAUGGUUUCUCAAGUGUGCUCUGGACAGCAGCAUCUGAGAAGUUGUUCAAACAUAGGUCCUCAGUUGCCUGCUGAUUCAGAAAUCGUGGCAGGGGGUGGGUAGCACACAGAGAUUGUAUCGUAAAGAACCCUCCAGGGAGGGCAAGGGUGGCUCAAACAGUUUGGCUCAAGUUCAUCUAUUUCUUAGUUUUUUUUUUUUUUUUUUCCUUUUGUGGUAUUGGGGAUGGAAGCCAAGGUCUCUGAAUGUUAGGCAAGUGCUCUGCCACUGAGUUACAUCACUAGCCCUCAAAUGCUUCUGGAAAACUCUGAACCUACCAGAGGCUCUGAGGAGAACAGGUCAUACGGUCAACUGUGUGUGGAAACAAGGCACACUUGGUUAGCUCGCCAACCCACAACUCUGAAUGCUUCUGGCACACACACAGCCUGUUAAAGGCUCCUGCCAAAAUCCACAAAAAUGAAACCACUUAACCUAUGUUCAGUCCAGGUAAAUUAUAUAAUACACUUUCUUAACUUUUUUUUUUAUCACAGAACACCCUAGAACACUGUAUAAACAUCUGGCCACAUUGAAAAAUGCCGAUUCAGUGUUGGUUUAUUGGUUUAUUUUCUCAGGCUCCCAUGCUGCAUCUAGAAUGACCACUCAACAACUGCCCUUUGAAAAAUGCACAAAUCUCUCCAUGAUGACCCUAAUCAGACCUGGGUGAUUUACAAACCAAUUGACCUUUCCCCAAGAUUUGGGAGGGUCUUGGCUACAGUUCCUCAUGCAUUGACUCCCUGGGCUGCCCUGGGAGCCUGGAGGCUUGGGAGAAUCCAAGAACAAGAAGGAGAAGAUGAAAGGCCACCAACUCGGCCUUUCCAAAACAAUGACCAUCUGUGGUGCUCAGAUUGCCCUCUUGGCCUGAGCUCAUGGCCAAGUCACAAGGCAUCUUCUCAGAAGAUUUUUUUGGCCAAGAACCAUCCUCUGGGCCUAAAUGAUGUGUUAUUUAUAGAAGGAUUCUGUGGAUCCCAGGUCAUCAGUUCAGGCCAGCCCCCUGCCUUCAAGUUGAGCAGCCACUCUUCUGGCCCUUGCAGACAGCCAAGCAUCAGACCUGCCUCAGGGCCCUUUGGGGCCUUAAGGAUGGCCUGGCUUUCCUUUGCUCUCAAGGAAACCUCACCAGGGCCCAUUCAUUAACAAGAGGUUUCUAACCAAGAGGUUCGAGUAGAGACUGAGGUGCAAAAUAGUCCAAGAAAUGCCAGAGUCUCCAUGGGCACUAGAGACCCCUGAAAAACCAGGUCCAUGUUCCCAUUGGCAGAUAGAGAAACUAAGGCCCAGAAAGGAGAAGGAGUUGUUAUGGUCACAUAGCUUGACUGUAAUGUCACUUUGGUCAAUCUAGAAGUUUUCAGGGGUGUACAGGGACGUCAAGACAGCACUGAGUGGGAUGACCACAGAGGAGGCAAACAGAGAAAGGGACAGUCAUUGAGAAAGACUCAGAGGGGUGUUGGGUUCUGAGAUAAAGAUUUGCUACCUGCUCUGUAGUCUAUCCCACAACCUCUACCCCUGACUUCAACAUGAGUACAGGUAGGGCUAGGGCAUGGUGCCACAUCCUAGGGUGCUAGGCAACCCUUGACAAGUGACAUAGUAGGACUGAGGGGUAAACAGUACAAUCCUGUGACCAUGCAUGUCUCACUCACGUGUGUGUGAUACCAUAUAUGAUAUCCCAAUCAUGGCACACUGUGACUGUCCUUGUGUGAUGGUAUCACAGCCCUGGGGGCACACUGUGGCUAUACUUGUGUGUCACCUGUAGCAAUGCGGCUUUGCAGCUACCUGUGUCUGUUGGUAUCUGUGUUGCUGUCCUUAUGACCAGAGAGUUGGGCAUGCAGUUGUGUGUGAGGUGAUGUUUGUGACUCUGCACCCCUGUGGCUCUGGGACUAUGUAUGUAUUUGAAAGGGACCAAAACAGCUCUUGGUAUUUUUGUGUACCUACAAAUCUGACAAGUAAGCUGCAGUGCAGAAACUUAGUCCUGAGAACUUUCAGAUGCAAAUUGUCACUUAAGUCUUCUUAAGAUGCGGGCAAGCUAUAGAAAAGUGAUCCCUUCUACCACGUAACUAUGGGCAUCUUCUGAUGUGCUGGCCAAAAGAAGGUGCAAGAGAAGGACUCAGAGGGGUGUUGGGUUCCGAGAUAAAGAUUUGCUAUCUGCUCUGUAGUCUAUCCCACAACCUCUACCCCAGCUCAGCUCCAAGGGGUUUCAGUUGACUCCUGGCCACUACACACAGUAUCCUGACCAGGUUUGGGAUNNNNNNNNNNNNNNNNNNNNNNNNNNNNNNNUAUGACCAGAGAGUUGGGCAUGCAGUUGUGUGUGAGGUGAUGUUUGUGACUCUGCACCCCUGUGGCUCUGGGACUAUGUAUGUAUUUGAAAGGGACCAAAACAGCUCUUGGUAUUUUUGUGUACCUACAAAUCUGACAAGUAAGCUGCAGUGCAGAAACUUAGUCCUGAGAACUUUCAGAUGCAAAUUGUCACUUAAGUCUUCUUAAGAUGCGGGCAAGCUAUAGAAAAGUGAUCCCUUCUACCACGUAACUAUGGGCAUCUUCUGAUGUGCUGGCUAAAAGAAGGUGCAAGAGAAGGACUCAGAGGGGUGUUGGGUUCCGAGAUAAAGAUUUGCUAUCUGCUCUGUAGUCUAUCCCACAACCUCUACCCCAGCUCAGCUCCAAGGGGUUUCAGUUGACUCCUGGCCACUACACACAGUAUCCUGACCAGGUUUGGGAUAAGAAAUGGACUGUCCCAGGGCAAGUGCAGAGAGAGAUGUUGAGGAUGAUGGUGGGGAUACCUUGGAGGGCCCAAGUCAGCUUAUAUGUAUGUGUAUGGGUGGUGAUGUGGUGGCAGGGUGGCAGGACCUGGCCACUCACACAUCUUUCCCAGGGCAGACUCCCAAAGGUGCCCAAGCAAUGGUGUGCCCAGUAAACAAACUUGCUCAGGUUCCCCUCUCCAGGCCCCUUGGUGAACUGUCAUCAGCUUCUGGCUUUCCACACUUGCAUCUGUGCUGACACAACCUACCCACAAACUGUCCCAUCUCUGGGGCCCAAGGACUCAUCCAUAGACACUCAUUCACACACAGUCCACCACUAAUCCUCAUUUAUCCUCCCACUCCACUCAUUCAUGCAUUCACUCAUUCAGUCAACAAAUACCCAUUGAGCUCCUGUAAUGGGCCAGCAAUCUGUUGACCUCCUCCAGUUUUCCCAAGUCAGAGCAAAGAAGGCACAGUCCCAAGAGACCCUUAGCGCAGGCAGCUCAGCAAAGAGGAACCUGGGGCUGGUGGGCUGGUGGCCGUUAGCUGAGGGGAAGCAAAGAGCUGGUGUCAUAACCAGGCCAGUGCAUUAAGCCAGACGGGUUCUGGAAAUUGGGUAAACAUGUGGCUUCGCCACCCUCCCAUGUAUUCCAGGCUGGGUCUGGCACAGUCACCCUGUCUGGGGCCCAGGGUCUGCUUCAUCUGGAGUUGAGUCCCAAGGCUUUAAAGCUAUCCUCUCAUUCCAAAUCCCAUACAACAAAGUUCAUCUCCCAGUUGGCUCUCAGGUUUGCCUAGGUUGGGCCCAAAUUGCCUUUUUAUGAAAGGCACCUCAUGUCCCCUUCCCACCAUCCAUCUAUACCAGACUUCAUGACUUCCAAGGGCAAGGGGGGCUAUGGUCUUCCAGCUCCUCCUCACUCCGCCUCACAAGUGUCCCCCAGAGGAUCUAUGGGUCCCAGGGAAACUGCUGCCCUCACCUAUAUGGGCCCUGCAGACCUCUUCACUGCUGAUCCUGGCUGCAUCUUAGUCCCAAAGGCUUACUUGCUAGGAUGCAAGGUGGGAGUGGGCUGAGCAGGCUUCCCCUACCAGGUGGCCAUCACUCCUCUGCUGAUUUUGCUCAUAACUCCAAAGCCUAUAUCAGGACCACAAUAAUUCUAGAGCUGGUGAAUGUCAGCAGGUCACAAUUUGGUUAGUCUUAUGCAAGAAUCUGUUAACUCAGUACCUAUGGAGGCCGAUAAUGCCUGUAGUCUUACCGCUCCCAGAAGAGUCUGAGGUUUUGUUUAUUUUUUUUUUAAUUAUUUUUUUAGUUGUUGAUGGACACAAUAUCUUUAUUUUAUUUAUUUUUAUGUGGUGCUUCACAUGUGCUUAGGCAAGCUCUCUACCACUGAGCUACAACCCAGCCCGAGUCUGAGGGUUUAAUUAAACCCAAAGGGAACUUCUGUAAAGAGAGCCACCAGUGGCCCCUUGGAUACCUUGCAAGGGNNNNNNNNNNNNNNNNNNNNNNNNNNNNNNNNNNNNNNNNNNNNNNNNNNNNNNNNNNNGGUGAAUGUCAGCAGGUCACAAUUUGGUUAGUCUUAUGCAAGAAUCUGUUAACUCAGUACCUAUGGAGGCCGAUAAUGCCUGUAGUCUUACCGCUCCCAGAAGAGUCUGAGGUUUUGUUUAUUUUUUUUUUAAUUAUUUUUUUAGUUGUUGAUGGACACAAUAUCUUUAUUUUAUUUAUUUUUAUGUGGUGCUUCACAUGUGCUUAGGCAAGCUCUCUACCGCUGAGCUACAACCCAGCCCGAGUCUGAGGGUUUAAUUAAACCCAAAGGGAACUUCUGUAAAGAGAGCCACCAGUGGCCCCUUGGAUACCUUGCAAGGGUCUUGACAAGGAGGUAAGUGAGAAGGUAAGGACACAUUGAGGUGUGGCCACAGGAAGGCAAGCCUGGCUUGAAUCCCAAUCCCAGCUCUCAAACUCUGGAAAAGUCACUUGUUCCAAGGCUCAGUUCCCUCGUCUGUAGCCAGCAGAUAACACUGCCUGCAUGCUAUUUCCAGGUGCUGGUGGCUCCAGAGAGGCUGAAUCUCAUUGAGGCAGCACUCUGAGGAUGGGACUACAGGGAGCCAGUUCAUAGGGUGUUUGUGUGAAACACACACGGUGUCUGGAUCUACCGUGCCUAUGACAGAGACAACAUUCAGUAAGACAAAGGCUCUUACCCUUUCUGUUAGCACCAAGAAGGAUGUCGCAGUGGCUGCUGGAACUCGGAAUGGAGGUAAGGAAGAAAGGACCAGGUCUUCCUCCCUGCCUUUGGAGACAAGUUCUAGAGUACAGGAGAGAAAAUCUUUCUCUUACCAGGGGCUCCCAAGGAGAAAUAAGAGGAGGGCAGAGAGGUGGCCUCUGCUAGGCUGUAGGCCCUGGUGCUGUUCAGGCUCGGAGCCACUGACCAGGCAUAGGGGAUAGAGGGUGGGCAGCAUCCCCAAGCAUGUGGGAGUCCUUCCCAAGGUUGCGGCUGGCUGCCCAGGCACUCCUAGAAGUCUCCUCAGAGUCAGGCUGGCUGGUAGCAGAACCAAAGCCCUGGCCAGCCUCCUUAGCUAAGCACUCCCAUCUGCCUGGACCUGUCACCUAGACUAGAGAAAUCUCCACAGAGACCUAAGAACUCAAAGCAGCCUCAGCAUCAUUAUUCCUCACUUCCUCCACUUCCCAGAGUGGAGGACCAAGCCAGAAGGCAGAGUUCAGCAGGUCAUCCUUGCUGGCUAUGUGACUUUGGGCAAGUUACUUAACCAUUCUGAGCUUCUGUCCCAUUCUGGACUUAUCACUGCACUGGCUUGUAUAGUUGCUUCAAAGGAGACUUGAGUUGUACACAAGCACAGCCCCAGGCCAGACACUCAUAAAGAGCUGCUGCUGCUGCUGCUGCUGCUGCUCCUGUACCUGUUAAAGCACUGUUGUCCACCUUGGCCUUCAUAUUGGCCCUAGUCACUCAGCACCAUUUCUCUGAAUUGCUCACUCACUCCUUCCUCCCCUGCUCACCUUCCAGCUCCCCAUAAUAUGAGCCAAAGGAGCAGGUUUUUAAAUGUCUACAGGGCCAGAGUGGAAUGAAAGCCCCUGUACUGGGUGAUAAUCACAUUGAUGGUGGAAUGUGUUGGGACUCUGACCACCCACCUGCUCUGCUAUACAGCCCUCCUUCUCCCCUGGCUCUCUUGGCUCUGGCCUCCUUGGCCUCCUCCAUAUAAGUCUCCUUCCCUAGCCUUCAUUGGGCCCUCUUGGCCAGGCUGCUCUGUCCUAGGUGUCAUCUCCUUGACAUCAGGUCCGAGCUCCAGCAUGGGGGCUCCUCUCUCCAUUCUCUAUACAAGUGCCCUCACCCAUACCAUCCCCAGACUUUAGUGACUUCUUUCCUGACAUCUCCCCAGCAAGGAGGGAGGGUGUGGGAGGAAGGCUCCCUUACACUGUGCAUUUAGCAUCUGGCCAGAAGAAGGGGCUCAGCCUGCUCCUGUCACCUGCCUCUACUCCAUCACCUCAAGGGGCCCUGCUCUGGCCUGAUCCACAUGUAGGGCUGAAGGAAUGAGACGAGGAAGUGGGGACCCCACCUCUGAGCCAGUCCUUUCCAGAGAGCCCCUCUAAACUGUCGUAAUCAACACUGGGUGUAGUGGCACACAUGCCUAUAAUCCCAGAGGAAUCCUCCUCAGGAGGCUGAGGCAGGAGGGUCACAAGUUCAAAGCCAGUCUCAGCAACUUAGCAAGGCCAUAAGCAACUUAGCAAGACCCUGUCUCAAAAAAUAAAAUGGGCUGGGGAUGUGGCUCAAUGAUUAAGUGCCCCUAGUGCCCCUGGCAUCCCUGGGUUCAAUCCUCAGUAAUGUCCCCCUCCAAAAAAGAAAGAAAACCCAAACUAUUCUAAUCAGGGCUGGGGAGAUAGCCCAGAGGUAGAACACUUGCUUAGCAUGUCCAAAGCCCUGAAUUCAAUCUCCAGUAUUAAAAUUAAAAAAAUAUCUACUCCAAGUGUUGUGGUACAUACCUAGAAUUCCAAUAAAUUGGGAGGGUAGCAAGUUCAAGGGCAACCUAAGCAAUUUAGUGAGGCCCUAAGCAACUUAGCCAGACCCUAUUUCAAAAUAAAAAGAGCUAGGGAUGUGAAGCUCAGUGGUAAAGUAUCCCUGAGUUUAAUCCCCAGUACCAAAAAAAUAAAUAAAAUAAAACUACACUAAUCUUUCCCCUAGCUCCCUAACCUAAGCACUCCUCCAUUAUAAACCCAGAGGUUGUGUGACUAGAAAGCAGGACACCUGGGUCCCACCACAGCCCAAACAUCUUACUGUGUGAGCUUGAGUGAGCCCUCUCCCCUGGCAGGGACUUGGUCUUUUAGCUCUAAAGGGCUUAGGACUGUGGACACAUGCCCAGUAUAUAAGGCCAGGCAGGUAUUGUUGCUUGGACACCACAUGUCCUCAGGGUCCCUCAGAUCCCCUGAAGGAAGGACUGGUAAAAAAAAAAAAAAAAAAACUGGAGAAAAAUGUCCUGCCUGGGCCAGAUGAGAAAUCUCCUGAUUGUUAACUGUGAAUAACUAAUUCACAUGCUCCCACCCUUGGCCCUACUCCAGUGCUGCUGUCAUCUCCCUUCAGUCAUGAUUGCCUACUAAGACCUCAUCAGUCACAAUGUUCUCUGACAUUUACAAGAUUGGGAAUCACAGACAGGCUAUGCUUGGAUGUGGAGGGGAAGGAGGUCAGUAAGACUGAGGAUAACACUGAUAACUCGCUCAUUGGUGGCAAUGCCUCUAUGAAAGGCCCCCAGGGUGAAGGUAUGAAAGCUCAGUGAUCACUGAGAUUGAUGCUGUCAUGAACCAUUACCUGCAGGAAAGCACCGUCACAAAAGAAGCUACAAAAAGGACAUCUGGGCUGAGAGUAUAGCUCAGAGCUAGAGUACAUACUUAGCAUAAAAAAGGACAUUGAAGAUACAUAAUAGAUUCACAGAUUGCAUGAAGUUGCUGAGCACAGUAGUGCAUGCCUGUAAUCCUAGGGAAUUAGGAGGCUGAGACACGAGGAGUGCAUAUUCAAGGCCAGCCUUGACGACUUAUUAAGACCCUGUUCCAAAAUAAAAAUGUAACAAGAGCUGGGGAUGUAGCUCUGUGGUUGAGUGGUUGAGCACCCCUAGGUUCAAUCCCCAGUAUCAUACACAUGUAUAUACACAAAGAUCAUAUAAAAUCAAUAAAAGGCAACAUUGAAAGGCAAACCAGAAAGAGUAAAACUGUUCAGGAUAGGUACUGUAGAACAAACCAAACAUAUCCUUGCUAAUUUCAAAAAUUACUAGUUCUUUACUGGUGAAAACAAGAAUCUAGAUGACAUGGUUGCUCUGGUGGAUUGCCAUGAGGAUGGUGUGACCCUCCAUAUAUGAUUUUUCUUUCAGGAUGAUUUAAAAAUGGGAAAAUGUUCAAAAAGUUGGAAAUUUCUUUGAUCUGUCACCUGUCAUUAUUACUGUUAUCUACAUAACAUCAGGACAAAUGAGAUGGAUGCUCUUUAUUUAUUUUAACCAUGAUUUCUUAGGAGUGGAGCAUUAUUUUUUAAGAAAAAAGUAAUUGGGCCAGACACAGUGGAGUACAACUAUAAUCCCAGAAACUCUGAGGCUGAGGCAGGAGGAUUACAAGUUCAAGGUCAGCCUGGGCAACCUAGGAAGAUCUGUCUCAAAAUAAAAAUAAAAAGAGGUUGGGGAACCAGCUCAAUAGUAGAGCACCCCUAGGUUGGAUCUCCAGUACCAUGAAAAAGGAAAAAAAAGAAGAAGAAGAAAACUGGUUGGUGGUAUAGCUCAGUGGUACAUUCCUUGCUUAACAUGAGGGAGGCCAUGGGUUUGAUUCCUUAGCACCACAAAAAAUAAAUAAGUAAAAAAAAAAGAAAAAGAAGGGAAGAAAAUACCAUGUAGGCACUUAAACCAAAACAAAAUAAAAAUAAAAAAUAAAACAAACAAGAACAAUUUGAGUGAGCCAAAUAGAACACAUCUGGGCCACAGUUUUUGGGUGCUGGGCUAGAGGUCUAGGUUCAGGAGUCCUCUAGGGCUCUCUGGACAUUUCCUGCUCUCUAGGCUGGGGUAAUAUUCUCUAUGAACUUCACUCCAGACCUGCCUCCCCUUUAAACAGCUGCCCACCCUUGCCCCAUAGCUGGCUUCACAAAUGGAGGCCCAGGCCUGGGCUGCCCCUUCCAGGAUGUCACAAAGCCUGAGGGGGUUCUAAAGUCAGGAUCACGCCAAGGCAUGUUCUGGGGGCCUCAGAACCUUCUGUCCUGGCUUUUCCCAAAAUUCUGUCUCACAUGAUGGCUCCUGGGUCCUGUUACUAGAAACCCUAGAGCUCAUAUCUCCAAUCCUUCUGGGCAGAGCUGAGCCGUUUCUGAAACCUCUGGUCACUCUGCGAGGCUACCUCUAUACAAAAAAGGCACCAACUUCCCAAACAGCACUACAUCAGCAGCACAGGCUAGAGGGG